RNAcentral lists this ribosomal RNA (238 nucleotides) under uncultured bacterium. RNAcentral describes it as "partial 16S ribosomal RNA". It matches the Rfam family "Bacterial small subunit ribosomal RNA", at positions 118 to 345 of the family's 1533-position model. The record is from RNAcentral.
UGAGCAACAUGACCUUCGGCGGGGGAUAGCCGGCCCAACGGCCGGGUAAUACCGCGUACGACCACAUGGGGACAUCCCUGAGCGGUGAAAGCAGCAAUGCGCCGAUGGAGUGCCUCGCGGCCUAUCAGCUAGUUGGUGAGGUAAUGGCUCACCAAGGCGACGACGGGUAGCCGGCCUGGAGGAGGGCCGACCCGGCCACACGUGGGACUGACGACCACCGGGCCCAGACCUCCGUAGG